RNAcentral lists this ribosomal RNA (468 nucleotides) under uncultured bacterium. RNAcentral describes it as "partial 16S ribosomal RNA". It matches the Rfam family "Bacterial small subunit ribosomal RNA", at positions 28 to 507 of the family's 1533-position model. The record is from RNAcentral.
GACGGACGCUGGCGGCGUGCUUAACACAUGCAAGUCGAACGGAAAGGCCCUGCUUUUGUGGGGUGCUCGAGUGGCGAACGGGUGAGUAACACGUGAGUAACCUGCCCUUGACUUUGGGAUAACUUCAGGAAACUGGGGCUAAUACCGGAUAGGAGCUCCUGCUGCAUGGUGGGGGUUGGAAAGUUUCGGCGGUUGGGGAUGGACUCGCGGCUUAUCAGCUUGUUGGUGGGGUAGUGGCUUACCAAGGCUUUGACGGGUAGCCGGCCUGAGAGGGUGACCGGCCACAUUGGGACUGAGAUACGGCCCAGAGUCCUACGGGAGGCAGCAGUGGGGAAUAUUGCACAAUGGGCGGAAGCCUGAUGCAGCAACGCCGCGUGCGGGAUGACGGCCUUCGGGUUGUAAACCGCUUUCGCCUGUGACGAAGCGUGAGUGACGGUAAUGGGUAAAGAAGCACCGGCUAACUACGUG